Molecule: RNA transcript, 6768 nt
Organism: Pan troglodytes (chimpanzee)
Lineage: Eukaryota; Metazoa; Chordata; Mammalia; Primates; Hominidae
Gene: ESCO2
Gene name: establishment of sister chromatid cohesion N-acetyltransferase 2
Exons: 14
Source: RefSeq, a predicted model, not a curated record
AAUCCUGGCGAGGCGAAGGGUACUGGCAAGGAGUUUGGUUCAAUGAUUUGUGGGUUAAGGGAAAGAGGCUGGGCAUCUUGGGCACAUUAGUUAACCUGUCUGUGCUUCACUUUCCUCAGCAGCGAAAUGAAGAUGAUACUAGAGCAGCUAACUCACGGGAUAUUUUUUAGGGUUAAAUGAGUUAAUGGGCGCCAAGAGUUUAGAACAUAGCACACAAACGAGUUGUUUCUGAUACUCACCAGGACAAUAUGUCUCUUGGGGAUUGGACUUUGUUCUGGCUUAAAUCGAAGGCCUGCCAUCCCAAACCUCUGAACCUCAGAGGUCCUCCUGCUAUAAAGUAGGAAUAAUCAUAUUCAUGUAAAGCUCCUACAGCACUUGGCUUUGCCCUGAUUAUUUCUCUUGAGAAAGCACUUUUAUCUGAGGAAUGUGAGUCCCUUUAAAUUACUAGGUCUGGAGAGGCAUUAAAAUGAGACCCCAUCAUGUUCUACCACCCCCUUGAGCUAUGUAUUCAUCUACUGAAACUACCUGCUUCUGCCACAAGUAGCUACCUACUAACCUAACACUGCCACACAAGACACUAUGACCCACACCCUAUAGUUUAACAAUGUCUAGCCAAUCACUGAUGCUUGUAGUUUCUAUACAUCAAUGAGAAUGCUUGACAGUUGUGUAUCAGCCCACUUCCUGCCCCCCUUCUUCGUCUUUAAAAACCUGCUUGUAGCAAAGGCCAGACAGAGCUCAUAUCCAAGCCUGCUGGUGGAGGGCGGUGGGGGGAGGGGGGUUGGAAUCUUCUGGGCAGCUGUCCCCGCUUUAACUCAAGCAAACUCUACCUUUUUUUUGCCUCAGUGACAUUUUUUUUGCCUCAGCCUUUUCCUUUUAAACUGACACCCUUACAUCACUGUCACUGACUUCAUUCUAUGAAAUUGAGGGCGUCACUUAACGAAAUUUAUUUACGUGCUUGCUUUGACAGCAUGUAUACUAAAAUUGGAAUGAUACAGAGAACUUUAACAUGGCCCCUGCUCAAGGAUGACAUACAAAUUUGUGAAAAUUAAAUUUGAAAAAAUAAACAUAAAACUCUAAACUUAUUUGAAACUAAAAAUGUGCCAGAAACACUGUACCAGGAGCUGGUGACACAAAGAUAGCAACAAUAGCUAACAAUAACCGUUUUAGGAACUUUCUGGUUUUCCAAAGUAAGAAUUUAGCUCUGUUCUGUAAAUAGCAAUUGUUUUGGGUUCUCCGUUGUAUUAUUUGUAAAAUGGGAAUGGCAAUAGAUAUUAAUACCUUACAGAUUGUGGUGAGAAGUAAAUGAAACAAAACAUGUAAAGCAUCUAAGAAUGCCUGGCACAUAGCAGGUGUUAAGUUUUAUAUUUUAAUUUGAAAAAUAAAAUAAAUAGAAACCUAAAGUUACUAAUAAAAAAAGUGAAACUAACAAUGAAGCUUCAAAUGUGAAAAAUAAGUGCAUCGAGAAUCUUGGAGAGGCCUUUAUUUAUUUAUGUAUGUAUUUUUGAGACGGAGUCUUGCUCUGUCGCCAGGCUGGAGAGGCCAUUUUACAAAAAUUUCUUACCCCGUGACCCCAGAAUGUAUCUCAACUUCAACUAGACCGAGAACUACAAUUCCCAGAAUGCACCUAAACAAGGCCCCGGGAACGGAGUCUGGCGGUGCUGCAGGGGAUUGUGGGUGCGUGGUUUCCCUCAGAGAUUUUUCACCUCACCAGGGCGCGAGAAUCUUGGAAACAGCCACCAGGGUGGGCGGGGCAAGGGCUGGUGUUCCACCAAUCACCGAGCCAGCCCCUGGAAGCGCUGAGCCGUGGCCAAUCGGAACGCAGCGGCUUCCUCCUAGCCUGGCGCGCGAUUAUUUGAAGACGCUCACGGAGCGGCUGGCUAGGCUGAGGGGAGCUCGCCCGGCUCUGAGGCGCAGGAAUUCAAUAAAGAAAAUGGCAGCUCUUACUCCAAGGAAGAGGAAGCAGGAUUCUUUGAAGUGUGACAGCCUUUUACACUUCACUGAAAAUCUGUUUCCAUCACCUAAUAAAAAGCACUGUUUUUAUCAAAACAGUGAUAAAAAUGAAGAAAACCUGCAUUGCUCUCAACAAGAGCAUUUUGUUUUAAGUGCGCUCAAAACAACUGAAAUAAAUAGACUGCCAUCAGCAAAUCAAGGCUCGCCAUUUAAAUCUGCGCUGUCCACUGUAUCUUUUUACAACCAAAAUAAGUGGUACCUCAAUCCACUGGAGAGAAAGCUGAUAAAAGAGAGUAGAUCUACUUGUCUAAAAACUAAUGAUGAAGAUAAAUCUUUUCCCAUUGUGACAGAAAAAAUGCAAGGAAAACCAGUCUGCUCCAAGAAGAACAACAAAAAACCACAGAAGAGUUUAACUGCUAAGUAUCAACCAAAGUAUAGACACAUCAAGCCUGUGUCAAGGAAUUCUAGAAAUUCCAAGCAAAAUCGAGUGAUCUAUAAGCCAAUUGUGGAGAAAGAAAAUAAUUGUCAUUCAGCUGAAAAUAAUCCCAAUGCUCCUCGGGUUCUGAGCCAAAAAAUAAAACCACAAGUUACACUCCAGGGUGGAGCAGCAUUUUUUGUUAGAAAAAAAUCUUCUCUUAGAAAAUGGUCCCUGGAAAAUGAGCCAUCACUGGGACGCACCCAAAAGAGUAAAUCAGAAGUCAUUGAAGAUUCUGAUGUAGAGACUGUCAGUGAAAAAAAAACUUUUGCGACAAGGCAAGUGCCAAAGUGCUUGGUCCUAGAAGAGAAAUUGAAAAUUGGACUACUGCGUGCAAGCAGUAAAAAUAAAGAGAAAUUAAUAAAGGAUUCAUCAGAUAACAGAGUUUCUUCAAAGGAACAUAAAGUUGAUAAAAAUGAGGCUUUUUCUUCAGAGGAUUCUCUUGGUGAGAAUAAGACAAUUUCUCCUAAGUCCACUGUCUAUCCAAUCUUCAGUGCAUCUUCAGUCAAUUCAAAAAGAUCUUUAGGUGAAGAACAGUUUUCUGUGGGAUCUGUCAACUUCAUGAAACAGACCAACAUCCAGAAAAAUACUAAUACCAGAGAUACAAGCAAAAAAACAAAAGACCAGCUCAUCAUCGACGCUGGUCAGAAACAUUUUGGGGCUACUGUGUGCAAGUCUUGUGGUAUGAUAUAUACUGCUUCCAACCCUGAAGAUGAAAUGCAGCAUGUACAGCAUCACCACAGGUUUCUGGAAGGAAUCAAAUAUGUGGGUUGGAAGAAAGAACGUGUAGUAGCAGAGUUUUGGGAUGGGAAAAUCGUGUUGGUUCUGCCACAUGAUCCAAGCUUUGCUAUCAAAAAGGUAGAAGAUGUCCAAGAACUUGUUGAUAAUGAAUUGGGCUUCCAGCAAGUUGUUCCUAAAUGUCCAAACAAAAUAAAAACUUUUCUUUUUAUAUCUGAUGAAAAGAGAGUAGUUGGGUGUUUAAUUGCAGAACCCAUCAAACAGGCAUUUCGUGUCCUGUCUGAACCAAUUGGUCCGGAAUCCCCAAGCUCUACGGAAUGUCCUAGGGCUUGGCAAUGUUCAGAUGUACCAGAACCUGCAGUCUGUGGGAUAAGUAGAAUCUGGGUUUUCAGACUGAAGAGAAGAAAGCGCAUUGCAAGACGACUAGUUGAUACCCUCAGGAAUUGCUUCAUGUUUGGCUGUUUUCUCAGCACUGAUGAAAUAGCAUUUUCUGACCCAACACCAGAUGAUGAGUUUUGCCUAGGGGUUUAUCAAUUUUGUUAGUAUUUUUGAAGAUUGGCAUUGUUAAUCCUAUCAUAGAUUGUAGAAGAUUAAAUAGGUACCAGGAGACAUGAAAGAAUCAUCUUCAACAUUUCUCAAGCAGCUGCUGAUUAUCUCCUUUUAUGGAGGCAUAACAAGCUCCUGGAGGCUUCUACAGAUUCUAAAGGGAAAGAUUUUCUGGGAGGUUGGUAAAUAUUCAAGAAGCUGGUCAGUUGGCAGGUAUGUAGAGAAACAGCAAUUCUCUUACAAAUUAGUAGGAAUAUAGAAUGUGGAUGUUGAGAUUACAGACUCUGGAGCCAGACUGCCUUCCUUGGGUUGGUUCAAAGACAUAUGCAAGCUGUGUGACCUUGAGCAGAUCACUUCUAGACCUGAAUUUCUUCAUUUUGUGAAUAAUAUUAGGCUGAGAGAAGUACCAUUUCUAUGCUUCCAUGAUUGCUAUGUCCAGGAAAAGGGAAAGGGACCAAUCACACAUAGGCUCUUUUUUAAAGCUCAAGAAAGAAAUAGGUCCACUCACAUUUCCAUUUAAACUUGAGUCAACUUGUCAAUUUCAAUGAAAAAGCCAGCUAAAAUUCUCAUUAGGAUUGGACUAAAUCUCUGGAUCAAUUUGGUAAGCAUUAACAUCUUAAUAGUAUUGAGUCUUCCAAACCACAGUCAUAUAUUUCUCCACUUAGUUAUAUCUUACUGAAUUUUCUCAGUGAUGAUUUAUAGUAUUCAUUACAGAGGAUUUAGACUUUUUUGGUUAGAUUUAUUCCGAAAUAUUUUGGGUUUUGGUACUUGUAAAUAGAUUUUAAACAAUUCCAUUUUCAAUUAUAUACUGCUAAUACACAGAAAUGUAAUCACUAACUUCACUAUAGCUGUUUUAUAGAUUCCUUGGGAUUUUCUACCUAAACAACAUAUCAACUGCAAAUGGGGACAGUUUCGUCUCCUUUCCAAUUUUGCCUUCUCCAUUUUCUUGCCUUAUUUUAGUGGCUAGGGCUAUAGGACUGCUAAAUAAAACUGGCAAGAGCAGGCAUCCUGGCCUUGUUCCCUACUUCAGUAUGAUACCUGCAGGUUUUUCUUGUAGACAGCCUUUCUCAAGCUAAGAUCCCUUCUAUUUCUAGUUAGCUGAGAGGUUAACUAGAUUUUAAACUAACUUUUAAAUCAAGAAUGGAUGUUGGAUUUUGUCAAACACUUUUUCUGUAUUUAUUGAGAUAUGUAGUUUUCAAAUUUGAUUAAAGACUUAAAUGUUGGACCUAAAACCACAAAAACCCUAAAAGAAAACCUAGGCAAUACCAUUCAGGACAUAGGCAUGGGCAAGGACUUCAUGAUUAAAACACCAAAAGCAAUGGCAGCAAAAGCCAAAACAGACAAAUGGGAUCAAUUAAAGAGCCUCUGCACAGCAAAAGAAAGUACCAUCAAAGUGAACAGGCAACCUACAGAAUGGGAGAACAUUUUUGCAAUCGACCUAUCUGACAAAGGGCUAAUAUCCAGAAUCUACAAAGAACUCAAACAAAUUUACAAGAAAAAAAAACCCAUCAAAAAGCAGGCAAAGGAUAUGAACACACAACUUCUCAAAAGAAGACAUUUAUGCAGCCAACAGACAUGAAAAAUUGCUCAUCAUCACUGGUCAUCAAAGAAAUGCAAAUCAAAACCACAAUGAGAUACCAUCUCAUGCCAGUUAGAAUGGCAAUCAUUAAAAAGUCAGGAAACAACAGAUGCUGGAGAGGAUGUGGAGAAAUAGGAAUGCUUUUACAUUGUUGGUGGGACUGUAAACUAGUUCAACCAUUGUGGAAGACAGUGUGGCAAUCCCUCAAGGAUCUAGAACUAGAAAUACCAUUUGACCCAGCAAUCCCAUUACUGGGUAUACACCCAAAGGAUUAGAAAUCAUGCUACUAUAAAGACACAUGUACACGUUUAUGUUUAUUGUGGCACUAUUCACAAUAGCAAAGACUUGGAACCAACCCAAAUGUCCAUCAAUGACUGGAUUAAGAAAAUGUGGCACAUAUACACCAUGGAAUACUAUGCAGCCAUAAAAAAGGAUGAGUUCAUAUCCUUUGCAGGGACAUGGAUGCAGCUGGAAACCAUCAUUCUCAGCAAACUAUCACAAGGACAGAAAACCAAACACCACAUGUCCUGACUCAUAGGUGGGAACUGAACAAUGAGAACACUUGGACACAGGGUGGGGAACAUCACACCCUGGGGCCUGUCAUGGGGUAGGGAGGAGGGAUAGCAUUAGGAGAAAUACCUAAUGUAAAUGACUAGUUAAUGGGUGCAGCAAACCAACAUGGCACAUGUAUACCUAUGUAACAAACCUGCACAUUGUGCACAUGUAUCCUAGAACUUAAACAAUUUCGUUAAUAUGGUGAAUUUUAUUGACUCCUCCCCCCAGCUCUGAGGUAUAAUUAACAAAAAUUAUAUAUGUUUAAGGUAUACAACUUGAUGUCUGAUAUACGUAAACACUGUGACCUCAUAGCCACAGUCAAGCUAAUUAACAUAUCUAUCACCUCAUAUAGUUACCAUUUUUUUGUGUGAGAAUACUCAAGAUCUACUCUCAGCAAAUCUCAAGUGUACAGUAUUGUUAACAAAGGGCACGAAGCUUCCAUUAUGCAGGAUGAGUAAGUUCUGGUGACCUAACGUACAGCAUAGUGAGGACAUUGAUUCUUGAAUGUUACAACUUUUCCUUCCUGGAAUAAGUCCUAGUUGGUCAAGAUGUAGUGUUCUCAUGUAGUAUUAGACUGAAUUGGCUAAUAUUUUGUUAAGGAUUUUGAUAUCUGUGUUUGUGAAGGAUAUUGGACUAUGAUUUUUUUUUCUUAAUAUCAGUUUAUUUUUCUGGGUACAUAGCAGGUGUACAUGUUUAUGUGUUAAUGUGAUAUUUUGAUGCAGGCAUGCAGUAUAUAAUAAUCACAUCAGGACCGAUAGGAUGUCCUACAAUCUGUCAGGUUUUCAUAUUAGAGUUAUGCUGACCGCAAAAACAGACUGGGCAGAGGUCCUUAUUCCUCUAUUUUCUGAAAAAGUUUGUGUAAAAUCCGUAUCAUUUCUUCCUUGGAUAUUUGGUAGAAAUCAACAGUAAAACAUCUGGGUCUUGA